This 561-nucleotide ribosomal RNA is filed under the name uncultured bacterium. RNAcentral's name for it is "bacterial SSU rRNA". It matches the Rfam family "Bacterial small subunit ribosomal RNA", at positions 338 to 916 of the family's 1533-position model. The record is from RNAcentral.
CCUACGGGAGGCAGCAGUGGGGAAUCUUGCGCAAUGGGCGAAAGCCUGACGCAGCCAUGCCGCGUGAAUGAUGAAGGUCUUAGGAUUGUAAAAUUCUUUCACCGGGGACGAUAAUGACGGUACCCGGAGAAGAAGCCCCGGCUAACUUCGUGCCAGCAGCCGCGGUAAUACGAAGGGGGCUAGCGUUGCUCGGAAUUACUGGGCGUAAAGGGAGCGUAGGCGGACAUUUAAGUCAGGGGUGAAAUCCCGGGGCUCAACCUCGGAAUUGCCUUUGAUACCGGGUGUCUUGAGUAUGAGAGAGGUGUGUGGAACUCCGAGUGUAGAGGUGAAAUUCGUAGAUAUUCGGAAGAACACCAGUGGCGAAGGCGACACACUGGCUCAUUACUGACGCUGAGGCUCGAAAGCGUGGGGAGCAAACAGGAUUAGAUACCCUGGUAGUCCACGCCGUAAACGAUGAUUGCUAGUUGUCGGGAUGCAUGCAUUUCGGUGACGCAGCUAACGCAUUAAGCAAUCCGCCUGGGGAGUACGGUCGCAAGAUUAAAACUCAAAGGAAAUUGACGG